RNAcentral lists this transfer RNA (77 nucleotides) under Vibrio cholerae O395. RNAcentral describes it as "tRNA-Met". It matches the Rfam family "tRNA". Rfam says of the family: Transfer RNA (tRNA) molecules are approximately 80 nucleotides in length. Their secondary structure includes four short double-helical elements and three loops (D, anti-codon, and T loops). Further hydrogen bonds mediate the characteristic L-shaped molecular structure. tRNAs have two regions of fundamental functional importance: the anti-codon, which is responsible for specific mRNA codon recognition, and the 3' end, to which the tRNAs corresponding amino acid is attached (by aminoacyl-tRNA synthetases). tRNAs cope with the degeneracy of the genetic code in two manners: having more than one tRNA (with a specific anti-codon) for a particular amino acid; and 'wobble' base-pairing, i.e. permitting non-standard base-pairing at the 3rd anti-codon position. Lineage: Bacteria; Pseudomonadati; Pseudomonadota; Gammaproteobacteria; Vibrionales; Vibrionaceae. The record is from RNAcentral.
CACGGACGCGGGGUGGAGCAGCUUGGUAGCUCGUCGGGCUCAUAACCCGAAGGUCGUCGGUUCAAAUCCGGCCCCCG